CCUACGGGUGAGCAGCAGUGGGGAAUAUUGCACAAUGGGGGAAACCCUGAUGCAGCGACGCCGCGUGAAGGUAGAAGUAUUUCGGGAUGUAAACUUCUAUCAGCAGGGAAGAAAAUGACGGUCCCUGACUAAGAAGCCCCGGCUAACUACGUGCCAGCAGCCGCGGUCAGACGUAGGGGGCAAGCGUUAUCCGGAUUUACUGGGUGUAAAGGGAGCGUAGGCGGUUUAGCAAGGCAGAAGUGAAAGCCCGGGGCUCAAAUCCGAGACUGCUAUUGAAACUGUUGAACUAGAUUGCAGGAGAGGUAAGUGGAAUUCGUAGUGUAGCGGUGAAAUGCGUAGAUAUUAGGAGGAACCCCAGUGGCGAAGGCAGCUUACUGGACUGUAAAUAACGCUGAGGCUCGAAAGCGUGGGGAGCAAACAGGAUUAGAUACCCUAGUAGUC
This 441-nucleotide ribosomal RNA is filed under the name uncultured bacterium. RNAcentral describes it as "partial 16S ribosomal RNA". It matches the Rfam family "Bacterial small subunit ribosomal RNA", at positions 338 to 795 of the family's 1533-position model. The record is from RNAcentral.